CUUGAUCAAAAUAUGAGAGGUCCAGCCUGCCCAGUGACCUAGUUCAACGGCCACGGUAUCCUGACCGUGCGAAGGUAGCGUAAUCACUUGUUCUUUAAAUGGGGACUAGUAUGAAUGGCAUCACGAGGGUUAAACUGUCUCCUUUUUCUAAUCAGUGAAAUUAAUCUCCCCGUGAAGAAGCGAGGAUAACUUUAUAAGACGAGAAGACCCUAUGGAGCUUAAAACGAAUUUGCACCUGCUUUUUAUUUAUUUCACUUCCCGAAUUUGCACAAACAUUAUAGCACAAUUGACAUGUAGUUUUCGAUUGGGGUGAUCCUGGGGUAAAAAAUAACCCCCAGGACGACAAAGGGCCACCCUUGAGCCAAAAGCCACAACUUUAAGCACUAAAAAAUUAACGCAACUUGACCCAAUUAUUUGAGCAACGAAC
Molecule: ribosomal RNA, 427 nt
Filed under: Boana dentei group sp. ABGD cluster 31
Lineage: Eukaryota; Metazoa; Chordata; Amphibia; Anura; Hylidae
Also listed under: 1 other name
Description: partial large subunit ribosomal RNA
Rfam family: Bacterial large subunit ribosomal RNA
Source: RNAcentral